This 436-nucleotide ribosomal RNA is filed under the name uncultured Roseburia sp. RNAcentral describes it as "partial 16S ribosomal RNA". It matches the Rfam family "Bacterial small subunit ribosomal RNA", at positions 341 to 792 of the family's 1533-position model. Lineage: Bacteria; Bacillati; Bacillota; Clostridia; Lachnospirales; Lachnospiraceae. The record is from RNAcentral.
ACGGAAGGCAGCAGUGGGGAAUAUUGCACAAUGGGCGAAAGCCUGAUGCAGCGACGCCGCGUGAGUGAAGAAGUAUUUCGGUAUGUAAAGCUCUAUCAGCAGGGAAGAAGAAAUGACGGUACCUGACUAAGAAGCACCGGCUAAAUACGUGCCAGCAGCCGCGGUAAUACGUAUGGUGCAAGCGUUAUCCGGAUUUACUGGGUGUAAAGGGAGCGCAGGCGGAUGAUUAAGUCUGAUGUGAAAUCCCGAGGCUCAACCUCGGUGCUGCAUUGGAAACUGGUUAUCUUGAGUGUCGGAGGGGUAGACGGAAUUCCUAGUGUAGCGGUGAAAUGCGUAGAUAUUAGGAGGAACACCGGUGGCGAAGGCGGUCUACUGGACGAUAACUGACGCUGAGGCUCGAAAGCGUGGGGAGCAAACAGGAUUAGAUACCCUGGUA